Molecule: ribosomal RNA, 274 nt
Filed under: uncultured bacterium
Lineage: Bacteria
Description: partial 16S ribosomal RNA
Rfam family: Bacterial small subunit ribosomal RNA
Source: RNAcentral
AUACGGAGGGUGCAAGCGUUAAUCGGAAUUACUGGGCGUAAGGCGCGCGUAGGCGGCUGAUUAAGUCGGAUGUGAAAUCCCUGGGCUCAACCUAGGAACUGCAUCCGAUACUGGUCAGCUAGAGUUUUGGAGAGGUAAGUGGAAUUUCCGGUGUAGCGGUGAAAUGCAUAGAGAUCGGAAGGAACACCAGUGGCGAAGGCGACUUACUGGCCAAAAACUGACGCUGAGGUGCGAAAGCGUGGGUAGCGAACAGGAUUAGAAACCCUAGUAGUCC